Molecule: ribosomal RNA, 392 nt
Filed under: uncultured bacterium
Lineage: Bacteria
Description: bacterial SSU rRNA
Rfam family: Bacterial small subunit ribosomal RNA
Source: RNAcentral
GACGAACGCUGGCGGCGUGCUUAACACAUGCAAGUCGAGCGGUAAGGCCCUUUCGGGGGUACGACGAGCGGCGAACGGGUGAGUAACACGUGGGUGACCUGCCCUCCAGCUCUGGGAUAAGCCUGGGAAACCGGGGUACUAAUACCGGAUAUGACUCCAUGACGCAUGUUGUGGGGUGGAAAGCCUUGUGCGGCUGAGGAUGGGCCCGCGGCCUAUCAGCUUGUUGGUGGGGUGAUGGCCUACCAAGGCGACGACGGGUAGCCGGCCUGAGAGGGCGACCGGCCACACUGGGACUGAGACACGGCCCAGACUCCUACGGGAGGCAGCAGUGGGGAAUCUUGCGCAAUGGGCGAAAGCCUGACGCAGCGACGCCGCGUGAGGGAUGACGGCCU